This 433-nucleotide ribosomal RNA is filed under the name uncultured bacterium. RNAcentral's name for it is "partial 16S ribosomal RNA". It matches the Rfam family "Bacterial small subunit ribosomal RNA", at positions 29 to 507 of the family's 1533-position model. The record is from RNAcentral.
AACGAACGCUGGCGGCAUGCCUAACACAUGCAAGUCGAACGAGACCUUCGGGCCUAGUGGCGCACGGGUGCGUAACGCGUGGGAACCUGCCCUUAGGUUCGGAAUAACUCCCUGUAAGGGGUGCUAAUACCGGUUAAUCUCUUCGGACCAAAGAUUUCUCGCUUUUGGAUGGGCCCGCGUUGGUUUAGCUGGUUGGUAGGGUAAACGCCUACCAAGGCCAGGAUACAUAGCUGGUCUGUGAGGAUGACCAGCCACACUGGGACUGACGCCCGGCCCAGAUACCGACGGCAGGAGGCAGUAGGGAAGAUUGGAGAGUGGGAGAAAGACUGAUCCAGCAAUGGCGCGUGAGUGAUGAAGGCCGUAGGGAUGUAAAGCUCUUUUGCCCGGGAUGAUAAUGACAGUAACGGGAGAAUAAGCUACGGCUAACUCCGUG